AUAAUAUCCGCUUGCCGAAGACAGCAGGUGCAUUUUGCGUAAGGACUCCCCUGUCCGCCUGCCGAGGAAAAGUUGUGAAAUUUUGAUUUUACAUGCCUUUUCCGUUUCUUUGCGGAGAAGGCUUUUUCAUUC
This 132-nucleotide small RNA is filed under the name human gut metagenome. RNAcentral describes it as "Ribosomal protein L10 leader". It matches the Rfam family "Ribosomal protein L10 leader". From Rfam's summary of the family: This family is a putative r-protein leader autoregulatory structure found in B. subtilis and other low-GC Gram-positive bacteria. It is located in the 5' untranslated regions of mRNAs encoding ribosomal proteins L10 and L12 (rplJ-rplL). The record is from RNAcentral.